This is a non-coding RNA of Cherax quadricarinatus, 1348 nucleotides long. The record is from RefSeq and is a predicted model, not a curated record. Lineage: Eukaryota; Metazoa; Arthropoda; Malacostraca; Decapoda; Parastacidae.
UCAUGAAAGUGGGGAACCCAUCACGUCAGUGUAGUGGGGAACCCAUCACGUCAGUGUAGUGGGGAACCCAUCACGUCAGUGUAGGGGGGAACCCAUCACGUCAGUGUAGUGGGGAACCCAUCACGUCAGUGUAGUGGGGAACCCAUCACGUCAGUGUAGUGGGGAACCCAUCACGUCAGUGUAAUGGGGAAUCCAUCAUGUCAGUGUAGUGGGGAACCCAUCACGUCAGUGUAAUGGGGAAUCCAUCAUGUCAGUGUAAUGGGGAACCCAUCACAUCAGUGUAAUGGGGAACCCAUCACGUCAAUGUAAUGGGGAACCCAUCAAGUUAGGCACAGUGUCUACCUACUGAGGCACAGUGUCUACCUACUGAGGCACAGUGUCUAGCUCUUAUACGAUGCUAUAUAGAUUAUUCUUGUUCUUCAUGGUAUUCUGGUUCAACCAAAAAAAAAAAAAAUGACAGACUACAAAUUAUCCAGAACAUAAUGAGAUUCAUCUUAGGCCCAAAAGAGAGCAUAGGCCUACAGAAUUACAACAACUGGAUAUACUGACUCUUGAAGACAGUUAAAUCAUGUUUAUAAAAUUGCUUUCAUGCCUAACAAUAUUUUAUUACACAUCGACUACAUUAUUUUUGCCCUGCGUAAAAAUUAAAAUUUGAAUUUGACAAAAAUACGCAGCUAGGUAUCCAGGGUUUGUUUUGAGUCGCUGUUUUAAUGCACUUUUCUCCUUCAUUAAACAAAAUUAUUAACUAAGAAAUUAUGUUACAUCACCUUUAUGCUUCACCUGUUCUUAUUUCUCACUUAUCUUGAAUUAUUCAAUGUAUGUAAAGCACUAAAUCCACAUGGGUUAUUGAGAGCAAGGAGUGUUGCAGACUCAAUCAUUAAUUCAUCCUCUGAGGACAACAUGGAUACAUUUUAAUAUACUCUAGGUAAUUCAAUUGUUUUAAGACAAACUAUACACCUUAUAAACCAGGAAACGGAUGGGUUUUGAACCUGUAACAAGUGAGUCCUAAUACAGCAAGUCCUUGACUUGCACAUUGCCAAUCUUCUGUAUUGUUUAUCGUAUCAUUAUUAUACACAAUAAUGUAUAAUAACGUAUAAUAAUUGUGUAUAAUAUCAUUAUUAUACAUUAUUGCAUAUAAUAUCAUUAUUAUACAGAAGGUCCUCAAUGUGUUUGUAAGUUGAAGAAUUAACGUACACACAGGCCAGUGUUUUAAAACCCUACUUGUUCCAUAAUUUAUUAACAGUCGUGCUACUAUGAUUUCGUGAAUCAUACAUCUCAUAUCUUGUAACACACUAAACCCAAAAAUGGAUUAAAAAAAGUUUAUUACAAUACAUGCUUCUUGUCUUCC